This 324-nucleotide ribosomal RNA is filed under the name uncultured bacterium. Its description in RNAcentral is "bacterial SSU rRNA". It matches the Rfam family "Bacterial small subunit ribosomal RNA", at positions 28 to 334 of the family's 1533-position model. The record is from RNAcentral.
GACGAACGCUGGCGGCGUGCCUAACACAUGCAAGUCGAACGGGGCUCUUUGGAUCGAGACUUCGGUCAAGUGAAUCUGAGCUUAGUGGCGGACGGGUGAGUAACGCGUGAGCAACCUGCCUUUCAGAGGGGGACAACAGUUGGAAACGACUGCUAAUACCGCAUAAUGUGUUUUGGGGGCAUCCCCGAAAUACCAAAGAUUAUAUCGCUUGAAGAUGGACUCGCGUCCGAUUAGCCAGUUGGCGGGGUAACGGCCCACCAAAGCGACGAUCGGUAGCCGGACUGAGAGGUUGAACGGCCACAUUGGGACUGAGACACGGCCCAG